UCUCCGUUGGUGAACCAGCGGAGGGAUCAUUACAGGACUCGCAAGACUCCUACAACCCUGUGAACUUAACUAUAAGCACGUUGCUUCGGCGGGUGUCUCGGAGGGGGUUCUCCCUCCCCGAGACGCUAAACCCGCCGGCAGCCUACUAUACUCUGUCUCUUUGCGUUGGCAUCUCGAGUACGAUCAAACAAGUUAAAACUUUCAACAACGGAUCUCUUGGUUCUG
RNAcentral lists this unclassified non-coding RNA (225 nucleotides) under plant metagenome. Its description in RNAcentral is "partial contains small subunit ribosomal RNA, internal transcribed spacer 1, and 5.8S ribosomal RNA". The record is from RNAcentral.